RNAcentral lists this ribosomal RNA (253 nucleotides) under uncultured bacterium. RNAcentral describes it as "partial 16S ribosomal RNA". It matches the Rfam family "Bacterial small subunit ribosomal RNA", at positions 524 to 776 of the family's 1533-position model. The record is from RNAcentral.
UACGUAGGUGGCAAGCGUUGUCCGGAUUUACUGGGCGUAAAGGGCGUGCAGGCGGUUUGUUUAGUCUAGGGUGAAAGCUCCCGGCUUAACUGGGAGAGGUCCUUGGAUACUGGCAAACUUGAGGGAGGCAGAGGAAAGUGGAAUUCACGGUGUAGUGGUGAUAUGCGUAGAUAUCGGGAGGAACACCAGUGGCGAAGGCGGCUUUCUGGGCCUUACCUGACGCUGAGACGCGAAAGCGUGGGGAGCGAACCGG